This 73-nucleotide transfer RNA is filed under the name Bos taurus (domestic cattle). RNAcentral describes it as "tRNA-Cys (GCA) (tRNA-Cys-GCA-27-1)". It matches the Rfam family "tRNA". From Rfam's summary of the family: Transfer RNA (tRNA) molecules are approximately 80 nucleotides in length. Their secondary structure includes four short double-helical elements and three loops (D, anti-codon, and T loops). The record is from RNAcentral. RNAcentral also lists the same sequence under 1 other name. Lineage: Eukaryota; Metazoa; Chordata; Mammalia; Artiodactyla; Bovidae.
UCCCUGGUGGCUCAGAGGUUAAAGCAUCUGCCUGCAAUGCAGGAGACCCAGGUUCAAUCCCUGGGUCAGGAAG